Molecule: ribosomal RNA, 474 nt
Filed under: uncultured bacterium
Lineage: Bacteria
Description: partial 16S ribosomal RNA
Rfam family: Bacterial small subunit ribosomal RNA
Source: RNAcentral
GACGAACGCUGGCGGCGUGCUUAACACAUGCAAGUCGAGCGGUAAGGCUCCUUCGGGAGUACACGAGCGGCGAACGGGUGAGUAACACGUGAGUAAUCUGCCCUUCACUUCGGGAUAACCACCGGAAACGGUGGCUAAUACCGAAUACGACCAGUCUUCGCAUGAGGUGCUGGUGGAAAGUCUUUUCGGUGAAGGAUGUGCUCGCGGCCUAUCAGCUUGUUGGUGGGGUAAUGGCCUACCAAGGCUUCGACGGGUAGCCGGCCUGAGAGGGUGACCGGCCACACUGGGACUGAGACACGGCCCAGACUCCUACGGGAGGCAGCAGUGGGGAAUAUUGGACAAUGGGCGAAAGCCUGAUCCAGCAACGCCGCGUGAGGGAUGACGGCCUUCGGGUUGUAAACCUCUUUCAGUACCGACGAAGAGCCCUGUCGGGUGGUGACGGUAGGUACAGAAGAAGGACCGGCCAACUACGUG